Ostrinia nubilalis (European corn borer) is the source of this 5612-nucleotide long non-coding RNA. RefSeq lists it as uncharacterized. Lineage: Eukaryota; Metazoa; Arthropoda; Insecta; Lepidoptera; Crambidae. The record is from RefSeq and is a predicted model, not a curated record. The transcript is spliced from 3 exons.
CGCGUGUGUCUUCCUCGCACGCCUCGCCGCCCGCGCGCCGCCCGCUCACCAACCAGCGCAGCGAGGGCGAGCGGGGUGAACCAGCCUUUCCUCCCGACGCGUUUGCGCCUCGCGAGUAUGAAGGCGACGGGUUCGGUUACGCGCGCGACGACGCGCCCAAGAUGCACGGCGCCUUCGAGGUAUACCGCAAGCCAUCUCGCGAGUCGUCCUGCGAGGCGGAUCCCGACGUGAAGUCGCUUCAGGAACAGAACGCGGUUCUCCACCGCGUGUGCCGCGCACUAUGCGCAGAGCUCGCCGACGCACAGCGCGAGAGAGAGGCAUUGCGCGUGCGCCUGGGAACACACACGCCCGUCUAGUAAGCACGUGUAUAAAGAAGCGGUUAAACGCGGCGUUUAAACGCCCUGCGUAAGGAAUGGUUCAUAUGUCCCCCGUUUCCUGUCUUUCGAAUUACGAGGUUGGCGCUGUGUCACGGUGGUUUGUUGACUCGUGGAUGUACUCUUUAUUUUAUAGACUAUAACUUUCCUUUUUUUCUACUACAUACUAUCUUAACAGAUUUAUUUUUCUCAUUUGUCCCGCAAUUGGCCAAGUAUUAUCUUAUUACGUACCUUCUAUAACCUAAAUUACAUUUCAAUGAACUGAAAAAAAAGUUGGCAAACCUUUUUUGGAACUAAUUAACUGUGGAAUUUUUCUUUUAUAGUCUGUGAAAUUGAUACAAAACUCAACCGGAUCCACACAAGUCCAUAGAUAUCCAUAGAAUCCAAGGUGACACAGUAGACAACCCGUGGAUCAGUAACGCAUCAGGGGAUUGGUAGCGCCCCAUCGAACUACCUCGCCCCUUAGAUUUGAAAAUUUUAAUGAAUUACCCUAUUACCGUACUUUCAGGCCAAAUCUAAUCUGCGAUUCCAAUGCGAAUUACGUUUAUCUAUCCUCAUAUUUUGUACCCGAUUUUGUAUAUUAUCCCGCGAAGUUCUAUCACUCGUAAGCUAUUGUAACCUAAGUGUAUAUCCUGUCUUAUCUACAUUUAUUGCGAUUUCGACUAAUGCUUCGAAUUCUAACGGGUCAUAAAUGUUUUUGCGACCCUGGCAGUUAACGUCUCCCGUGUAAUUUUAAACUUAAAAAUCGACCAAAACUAUUAUAACUCUACCUAUAUUUUAUUUACUGUCUGGCUUUAUUACAUUUGCUGGAAAGAAAAAAUAUUACAAAAUUAUGAAUAAAAACUUUAUAAACGGUUUUUAAAAAUUCAAAUUAUCUUUUCCAAAAAUCUUUUUAAAAAGUAUAAUUUUAACUGGUUUUAUAAAAAGUAAAUACAGAGGUAUUAUUGAUAUGAGUCAUAUACAGGGUGAAAGGGGUAGGUUAGUAAAAUCAUAAGUGAUUAAAAUUAAUCUGGAUUGUAAUUUUUUCAUCGGAGUUGUAUUUCAAGAUGAAAUCUGCUUUCAGGACAUCUGUAAAAAGGACAAUGACCAAAAGUGGUCCAAAUGUCCACCACUAACGAGACCUAUAUUGGCUUAUAGUCCAUUAAAUACAGAUUAACUUUCAGUAUGGGACGAAAAAAAAAUAAGCUGUCAGUAAAAAGUUAUGACCGUAUGAAAAAUUGUAAUAGUUUACGCGCUAAUCUCAGGAACUACUGGUCCGAUUUGAAAAAAUAUUUUUGUUAUGGAUAGCCCAUUUAUCAAGGAUGGUUUUAGGUUAUAUAACAUCACCCUACAACCAAUAGGGGUGGAGCAGCGACCACCCGACCAUAAUUCCAAUAUUGUUGUCUUUCUUCUGAGCUUAUUUUUUUUUUCUUUUAGCGAGAAUCUAACACGGCACACUAAGCGACAUGACAAUAUGCAUAUGUUAUAGUCAAACCUCGAAGUUCCGGCACUCCUAGGUUUGACUAGUCAAUCCUCAGGUCUGACUAGAAGUCUUAGUCAAAGCCCAAACAUUUCGGCCUUUGACUAAAUAAUGUUAGUCAAACCUAGGAGUAACUAAUUUGGUCAGGCAAAGGUCGAAACUCAAUUUAAUGAAAUCGGGGUUUGACUAGUCAAACCUGAAUUAAGACUUUAAACUAAACUAUACUUAAUUCUGAUCUUGAACUUAUUGCAUAGGCGUUACGACGGUCGGUUUUCACGCGCACGCGCAGCUAUCUCUUUAGGUGAAGGUACGAGUAACUAAACUUAUACAGUACUGAGGUUGGUUGUCAGUGUUUCUAGAUCGAUCUUGAUUAAUUACUAAUUUUUAGGGUUCUGUUACCUUAAAGGAUAAAGAGUUUAGACCCUAUUAUUAUGACUUCGCUAAAUGUUGUCUGUCACCAGGCUCGCAUCUCAUGAAUCAUUCACUUAAAAAAUAAAAAAUUCAAUAAAAUACUUAAAUAUUUAAGGGGGGCUCCCAUACAGCAAACGUGACUUGUUGCAGUUUUUUACUUGAUAUUAAUUAAAACGUAAACAGGUGAACCCUUGAAAUAUUCACAUGAUUUUAGUUGCAUUUUAAAAAUAAAUCAUAAAAUUAAAAUAAAAUAAGUAUUUAAGGGGGCUCCCAUACAACAAAAGAGUCACACGGAACCCUUCGUGAGCGAAUCCGACUCACACAUGGCUGGUUUUCUAUUUGCCGUCUACUUUUGACCGAGUCUGUCAGUCGUUUCUAGGAUUGACUAGGCAAAGCCCGAAACAGAUUAUUUUAGUUUCGACGUUUGACUGAACCGUUUAGGCACUUCUAGGUUUGACUUAGUCAAAGGCCGAUAUAAGAAUUUACUUCGGGGUUUGCCUGAAGGCCUUGGUCAAACCUAGGAUAGACCAGUCAUUCCGCGAAGAGACUGCAUAUCGACCUUUGACUAUGACACAUAGAUUAAUCCAAAAUGUGCGAUUGAUAGAAUGAUAUCAAGAACAUUUUUCGGAUGAAAAGAUAAAAAACAUACUAUUCAUUCAGUCAUAACUUUUUACUGACAGCAUAUUUUUGAUUGCGGUUUGGUUAUAAUGAAUCAGUAUUUAGUAGACUAUUUUACUACAUAGGUCUCGUUAGUGGUGGACAUUUGGACCACACUCCAUAUAUUUUUGGUCAUUGUCCUUUAGAAACCUGUCCUUUACACCCUGUAUUUAUUUACGAAUACUUUAAUGUUAAGAGGCUAUAAACAUUUUAAACGUCAUCAUUGCUGCUUAUCACAGUAUUUCGUAACUUAUGAUUAGACUACUUUGUCACAAUUUUAUUUUUACUUUAUUUUUAUUGAUGUGUGCAAGUAGUUUUCAUGGAGAUGGCAUGAGUGGAUUGAAUUUUAAAAAAAUAUCAGAGGUUUGAGUUGAGAGAAACGUUCAAAACGAGAUUGAUCUAUAAUCAUAUUGUUUUAUUCUUGAGUGCGUUCUUCAAGUUGAAACUUCAAAAAUUAUAUUAUGAAAUGUUUUUAACGAUUUAUAUAAUUAAUUAAGUGUAGUUGAAAAGUAUUAUGCUUAAAAAAUAUUUAAUUGAAAUCGGAUCAUAUUCAAAAAUUAUUUACUUCUUUAAGUUCCAUCGGUGCCAUUUCUAAUGAACUACUGAAGAGUAAACACCUUGAAGAGACCGAGCUAGUACAUUUCCACAAGUCAGGCAGAUGCUGUGAAGACUUCAAACUAUUUUAAGUGAUAAAACAAGGCUUACUAUAUUUUAUGCUAGAAACGUAUUUCGUUAGUGUACUGUAAUCAUUACUUCUACUUAGGACGGUGGGCCUUUAUUUUUACCCGAUUGCGGUAGAAGGAGGGUUAUGUUUUUGGAUUGGUGAUUAAAAGGGAAAAUUGAAUUCAAGUAAAGAAGUAUUCUCAUUAUUUCGUGCCGAACUUUUAUACAAAAGAGAUCAUUAACAUAAUUGACGUUAAUCAAUAGUGCGAAUAAGCGGUGUGAAUAUACCUUAACAAAUUCAUUUUUUGAUUCCUGCACUUGACAGUUUUUCUUUUUUUCUUUCAAACUUAUGUCUGGUAAUUUGGGAAGUGUAAUUACUUUUAGACUUAAAAUUAAGUUAGGCCCACUGCCCUAAAAAGUGUCCAUAUUGUUGUGUAUCGAAAUCCGUCGAAGUUCGAUGAUACUUUAUUCUUUUUCGUGUUCUAUAAAUCGUAUUAGUAUGAAUGGUUGUGCUAACAUUAUUAUUUGUAUUCUUUUCGAGUCCAAAAAUCAUUUGGGCUUAUAAUUAUUUUAUUUAUUUAAUACAUAAAUAAUGAUUAUAAAAUUAGGUGUCUAUGCUACUGUUCUCUAUUGCGAGUCUGAAGGCGUACUCAUUAAGACCUUUUUACAAAAACCCAGCAAAUUCAGGUGGUUGAAGACAAAAUAUAUUGUGGCAUUUACCUAGUAUAGACGCAUGCGUAACAUGCAUUGAAAUUUAUAUUCAAUGUUAUCAUUAUUUUCAAUGUUGUUUGAAAAACAAUUAUUUAUUAGUAGCGAGUAACGCUAAAGUUGCUUGUAUAGCAUUCCUUAUGUUUAUUAAAAUUGUAAUUUGCUUUGCUAUUAUUGUAAAAUAACCAAAAUUUACCAUCAAAAAGAGUAUUUGUUAAAAAUAUGUGAAUGAUGUAAAAAAAGAGUUAGUAUAGGGAGUGUAAAAAUGUGAAGCUUAAGAACUAUAAGAGAGGAGAUGCCAUGUCCAAGACUUGGCAUAGGUACAGUCAUUUGACUAGGAAUGUAUACUCUUUUAAAUGUAUUUUAAUCUUUAUUGCAAGGAAUUAAGGUUCAAAUAAAGCGUCAAUGUACACAUUCCCAUGCAAUUAACUGCACACGUCUGAUCGGAGCCUCUGCAUAUACUUAGUUAGGAAUAAACAACGCAAAGGAGAAGUCUCACUCCCCAUUGAAAAUAACCCCUCGUCUGAUAGUAAAGUGUAGUAACUCAAAAAUCGGCAAAAAUGAGAAAAAAUUGUUCUAUUUCCGGUUGUCAUCCUUAAUGGAAAAAUCUACAGAUACAAAUUAAAAAAAAGCUCAAACUCAGUGGUUCAACUCAUGGUCGUCAUACGAUCGUCGUCAGUUGUGUGAAUUCCAUUCUAUGUUUGAAAGCGAAAGUUUAAUAAUAUACAUAAAUGUAAUAAUUUUUUGUUUAUUAGUCAAUUAGGAUGACCACUAGGAAUAGGUAAUUUUUUACUACUAAUUUUGGCGAUUAUUUGAGAUGCUACACUGUGCUUUCUGGUGGGACUUAUUUCUGAGACUCCUUUAUUGCCGGUAUCGUUUGAGAUCACCCUGUAUUAUAUAAGGUUAUUGUAAAAGUAUUUAUCGUUUAUUUUAGUUGUAUCUUUAAGGACAUUAAUCUCCGCGGGCAGACUACCUUUUGCAGUGUAAAUAUAAUAUUUUAUUGCGACUCUUAUGUUGGUAUAUGUUACAAGCUUAUUAUAGAUCGCGCGGUUGAUUUUCAUGUUCAAACUAUUUUAAAAACUCAGUCUCUAAAUAAAUAAAAUAAAACUUUUGUGCAAAGAAAUAUAUCGGCUUUAAAAUAUCAAAAACUUUUUUAUUAUGUAUUAAACGUGAAAUCUAUAGAUUCUGCUGUAACCGCGCGAUUUUAUCAAUCUACAGUUUGGUCCAAUUUUUAUUACUAAAUUGUACCAUUAUUAGUCCAUUAUGUUUCAUAAAAUUUAUACAGUACUGCUUAAAAUAUUGUAGUAAAUUAUGUACAAUAAAUUUAUUUCCAAAUUUUA